CGGAGGAGGGCUCUUUCUGCAUAUGUAGAAAUGUCAAUGGUUCAACGCUGACAUGUCAUGGGAGCAGAAGUCUUUUAAGCAUGCUGUAGGAGACAGCUUCUUCAUUGGGUUUUAAAAAGUAAAUGAAGCAAGUCUAGCAAGGUGCGGUGAGGAAGCGUAGGGUCAUGUGCUGCUCUACAGGAAACGAGAUUGAAGCGACUGGAGAAGUUCAGAGCUCUGUGACCUCCACCAAAUUCAAAUAGCACAGAAAUGUACAGCCUCGGAAAUGUUCCUGUGAUCUAAUUAGCUUCAGAAGGUGCAUUCUGGAGUGAGUUUGUCAGGCCUCGUGUUCUGCCCAAGCAUCUCUCCAGCUUCUGAGGAGAUUUUUAAGAAGAAGAGAAACAAAUACCUGCCAGGAGUGGUACUGUGGUUCAGAGGAAGAGGAAGAACAUAUAUGUACCCUUUUCCAGCCUGUAUUUCAGUCUCCUUGUUGGCUAACUUUAUAUUUCGCUCGUUAUUGAAAACUGGUUAGUUAUUUUGAAGACAGUGAACAUUGAAUCAUAUGCAUGAUGCAAUAUAUUCCAUGCACCACUUUCCACGAAAGGCAGGUGUCAUGCUGCUCCUGAGUUUCUUGAGAUUUUGCUCUUUUCAU
RNAcentral lists this long non-coding RNA (631 nucleotides) under Chrysolophus pictus (golden pheasant). Its description in RNAcentral is "lncRNA (ENSCPIG00010009119.1)". The record is from RNAcentral. Lineage: Eukaryota; Metazoa; Chordata; Aves; Galliformes; Phasianidae.